RNAcentral lists this ribosomal RNA (242 nucleotides) under uncultured bacterium. RNAcentral's name for it is "partial 16S ribosomal RNA". It matches the Rfam family "Bacterial small subunit ribosomal RNA", at positions 29 to 300 of the family's 1533-position model. The record is from RNAcentral.
AACGAACGCUGGCGGCAGGCCUAACACAUGCAAGUCGAACGCUCCGCAAGGGGAGUGGCGCACGGGUGAGUAACACGUGGGAACCUACCUUCUGGUACGGAACAACCAAGGGAAACUUUGGCUAAGACCGUAUACGACCUCCGGGUGAAAGAUUGAUCGCCGGAAGAGGGGCCCGCGUCCGAUUAGGUAGUUGGUGAGGUAACGGCUCACCAAGCCUUCGAUCGGUAGCUGGUCUGGAGAGA